AUUGAACGCUGGCGGCAGGCCUAACACAUGCAAGUCGAGCGGAUGGAGGGAGCUUGCUCCUGGAUUCAGCGGCGGACGGGUGAGUAAUGCCUAGGAAUCUGCCUGGUAGUGGGGGAUAACGUCCGGAAACGGGCGCUAAUACCGCAUACGUCCUGAGGGAGAAAGUGGGGGAUCUUCGGACCUCACGCUAUCAGAUGAGCCUAGGUUGGAUUAGCUAGUUGGUGGGGUAAAGGCCUACCAAGGCGACGAUCCGUAACUGGUCUGAGAGGAUGAUCAGUCACACUGGAACUGAGACACGGUCCAGACUCCUACGGGAGGCAGCAGUGGGGAAUAUUGGACAAUGGGCGAAAGCCUGAUCCAGCCAUGCCGCGUGUGUGAAGAAGGUCUUCGGAUUGUAAAGCACUUUAAGUUGGGAGGAAGGGCAGUAAGUUAAUACCUUGCUGUUUUGACGUUACCAACAGAAUAAGCACCGGCUAACUUCGUG
Molecule: ribosomal RNA, 484 nt
Filed under: uncultured bacterium
Lineage: Bacteria
Description: partial 16S ribosomal RNA
Rfam family: Bacterial small subunit ribosomal RNA
Source: RNAcentral